GAUGAAGAACGUAGCGAAAUGCGAUAAGUAAUGUGAAUUGCAGAAUUCAGUGAAUCAUCGAAUCUUUGAACGCACAUUGCGCCCUCUGGUAUUCCGGGGGGCAUGCCUGUUCGAGCGUCAUUAUAACCACUCAAGCUCUCGCUUGGUAUUGGGGUUCGCGGUUUCGCGGCCCCUAAAAUCAGUGGCGGUGCCUGUCGGCUCUACGCGUAGUAAUACUUCUCGCGAUUGAGUUCGAUCGGUCUACUUGCCAGUAACCCCCAAUUUUUACAGGUUGACCUCGGAUCAGGUAGGGAUACCCGCUGAACUUAAGCAUAUCAAUAAGCGGAGGA
RNAcentral lists this unclassified non-coding RNA (329 nucleotides) under soil metagenome. Its description in RNAcentral is "partial contains 5.8S ribosomal RNA, internal transcribed spacer 2, and large subunit ribosomal RNA". The stretch from base 1 to 120 matches the Rfam family "5.8S ribosomal RNA", at positions 35 to 154 of the family's 154-position model. The record is from RNAcentral.